UACGGAGGAUCCAAGCGUUAUCCGGAUUUAUUGGGUUUAAAGGGUGCGCAGGCGGAAGAUUAAGUCGGCGGUGAAAUUUUGCAGCUCAACUGUAAAAGUGCCAUCGAUACUGGUUUUCUUGAGUGUGGAUGAAGUAGGCGGAAUUUGUGGUGUAGCGGUGAAAUGCAUAGAUAUCACGAGGAACUCCGAUUGCGCAGGCAGCUUACUAAACUACUACUGACGCUCAGGCACGAAGGCGUGGGGAUCAAACAAGAUUAGAUA
Molecule: ribosomal RNA, 261 nt
Filed under: uncultured prokaryote
Description: partial 16S ribosomal RNA
Rfam family: Bacterial small subunit ribosomal RNA
Source: RNAcentral